UUGUGGUUAAAAAGCUCGUAGUUGGAUUUCGGCGGACUGAGGGCGGUUUGCUUGCUAGUAUUACUGCCCUAUAGUCCGUAGUUUUGCCAGAGGUUUCGGGGUGCUCUUAAUCGAGUGUCCCGGGAUGCUGGCAGGUUUACUUUGAAAAAAUUAGAGUGCUCAAAGCAGGCUAUUACGCCUGAAUAUUCGUGCAUGGAAUAAUAGAAUAGGAAGUCGUUUCUAUUUUGUUGGUUUUCGGAAAUCGACUUAAUGAUUAAUAGGGACAGUCGGGGGCAUUUGUAUUCAAACGACAGAGGUGAAAUUCUUGGACCGUUUGAAGACAAACUACUGCGAAAGCAUUUGCCAAGAAUGUUUUCAUUAAUCAAGAACGAAAGUUAGAGGUUCGAAGGCGAUUAGAUACCGCCCUAGUUCUAACCAUAAACGAUGCCAGCUAGCGAUCUGCGGACGUUUUUUUUGUAGACUCCGCAGGAAGCUUCCGGGAAACCAAAGCAUUUGGGUUCCAGGGGAAGUAUGGUCGCAAAGCUGAAACUUAAAGGAAUUGACGGAAGGGCACCACCAGGAGUGGAGCCUGUGGCUUAAUUUGACUCAACACGGGAAAUCUCACCAGGCCCGGACACUGGAAGGAUUGACAGAUUGAUAGCUCUU
This 645-nucleotide ribosomal RNA is filed under the name uncultured marine eukaryote. RNAcentral's name for it is "SSU rRNA". It matches the Rfam family "Eukaryotic small subunit ribosomal RNA", at positions 613 to 1259 of the family's 1831-position model. The record is from RNAcentral.